AGCGAACGCUGGCGGCAGGCUUAACGCAUGCAAGUCGAGCGGGCGUAGCAAUACGUCAGCGGCAGACGGGUGAGUAACGCGUGGGAACGUACCUUUUGGUUCGGAACAACACAGGGAAACUUGUGCUAAUACCGGAUAAGCCCUUACGGGGAAAGAUUUAUCGCCGAAAGAUCGGCCCGCGUCUGAUUAGCUAGUUGGUAGGGUAAUGGCCUACCAAGGCGACGAUCAGUAGCUGGUCUGAGAGGAUGAUCAGCCACAUUGGGACUGAGACACGUCCCAAACUCCUACGGGAGGCAGCAGUGGGGAAUAUUGGACAAUGGGGGCAACCCUGAUCCAGCCAUGCCGCGUGAGUGAUGAAGGCCCUAGGGUUGUAAAGCUCUUUUGUGCGGGAAGAUAAUGACGGUACCGCAAGAAUAAGCCCCGGCUAACUUCGUGCCAGCCGCCGCGGUAA
This 451-nucleotide ribosomal RNA is filed under the name uncultured bacterium. RNAcentral's name for it is "partial 16S ribosomal RNA". It matches the Rfam family "Bacterial small subunit ribosomal RNA", at positions 29 to 523 of the family's 1533-position model. The record is from RNAcentral.